UCGAGCGGUAAGGCUCCUUCGGGAGUACACGAGCGGCGAACGGGUGAGUAACACGUGAGUAACCUGCCCCAUUCAUCGGAAUAACCAGUGGAAACGCUGGCUAAUGCCGAAUACGACCACCGAAGGCAUCUUCUGGUGGUGGAAAGCUCCGGCGGAAUGGGAUGGACUCGCGGCCUAUCAGCUUGUUGGUGAGGUAAUGGCUCACCAAGGCGACGACGGGUAGCCGGCCUGAGAGGGUGACCGGCCACACUGGGACUGAGACACGGCCCAGACUCCUACGGGAGGCAGCAGUGGGGAAUAUUGGACAAUGGGCGAAAGCCUGAUCCAGCAACGCCGCGUGAGGGAUGACGGCCUUCGGGUUGUAAACCUCUUUCAGCAGGGACGAAGCGAAAGUGACGGUACCUGCAGAAGAAGGACCGGCCAACUACGUGCCAGCAGCCGCGGUAAUACGUAGGGUCCGAGCGUUGUCCGGAAUUAUUGGGCGUAAAGGGCUCGUAGGCGGUUUGUCACGUCGGAAGUGAAAACUCAGGGCUCAACCCUGAGCGUGCUUACGAUACGGGCAAACUAGAGGUAUGCAGGGGAGAACGGAAUUCCUGGUGUAGCGGUGGAAUGCGCAGAUAUCAGGAGGAACACCGGUGGCGAAGGCGGUUCUCUGGGCAUUACCUGACGCUGAGGAGCGAAAGCAUGGGGAGCGAAC
RNAcentral lists this ribosomal RNA (697 nucleotides) under Aeromicrobium sp. RNAcentral's name for it is "bacterial SSU rRNA". It matches the Rfam family "Bacterial small subunit ribosomal RNA", at positions 62 to 773 of the family's 1533-position model. Lineage: Bacteria; Bacillati; Actinomycetota; Actinomycetes; Propionibacteriales; Nocardioidaceae. The record is from RNAcentral.